UUGGUUAGUUGAAUAUUUUAAUUGGCAUUCUUAUUUUCCAUUUCGUCUUCCAAGAACCUUUUAGGCAACUUCCUCAAAACAAAUUCUUUCCGUAAAAAAAAAAAGGGAAAAAAUUGGAAGUUUAACAGAGUGAAAGACGAAGAACAAUUAAAAGUUAUGAAAAUCUUGCCAUUUCUAAGUUAAUUUCCGUUCCUUCCUUCGCUACACAAUUGUUGGGUUAAUUUCGUUUCCUUUACACAAUUCCGUAGCGGUUUCAAGCGCAGAAUUACCGCAAAACGAACAAUGGAGUCAUCAAUGACAGGGGGGGAACAGGAAAUAACAGAGCAAGGUCCCCAGGAUACUGCAGGAGUGCAAAGGCCCCAAGAGAGUGGAGCACUCAUAGUUCCCAAGAUGAUGAAGCCAUUGAGGGUGGGGAGGAAGUAUCAAAUUGGCCCAAUGACGAUUCUUCCCAAAAGGUUAAUCCGAGCGAUAACAAAGUGUCGACAUUAGCACUUGUUGACGGGGAAGAGGAUGGUAAUGAACAAAAGGGAAGAGAGCCCCUGACAAAGUCAAUUGAAGCACCCAAAGAAUGCACUGAGCCUGAACUUGAAACUAAAAUGGCUGAAGUUGAGUCAAAGGCAACCACUGUAGAUGAAGGUGCGGAUGAUAUUAGCGAAACAUCAAAUGAAAAAGGGGUUGUUGCUGACUCAAAGGCAUAUAAGGUUGAUGAGGUUGAUGAUAAUACAAAAAUUGCAACAUCAUCAAUUGAAAAAGAGGUUGAUGGUGAGUCCAAUACAAACAAGGUAUAUGAAUCAAACAAGGAAGGCAUUGUGGCUGAAGAAGUUACUAAGAGGUUGAUUCAAAGGCAGAUAAUGUAGUUGAAGAUGCUGAUCAUGCUUAAAUUGCAAAAUCAAGUUUGAAAGAGGUUGUUGCUGAGUCAGAGUCAAAUCAAGUACAUGAAGUUGCUGCUACUUCUGUGAUUGCUACAUAAAAUAAAAUAGAGUGUUCGAUUGCAUCGGAAGGAACUUUGGAUAGACCUACUGACAAACCCUUUUCAUUGAACAACAAAGAGCUUGGUGGUUCAGACAAUGAUUUUCAGCCAAUGGAGGUUCUAAAGGAAGAAUGACAACAAGGAAGUCUGGAAGGCUAAAGAAAGAGGCCUCUGUCAAAGCUAAAGAGGUUACAGAUGUAGAAGUGGAUGAUGAACCUCAAAGAAAACGAGGACGACCCCACGUGGAGGGACCUAAAAACUUCCCCGUCGUUAGGGCUUACCCUGAAGAGGUACAAAAGAUUGUGAAGGCAAUGGUUCGGGAAAGAAAAAAGUUUGUGGAGAAAACCAAUUUCAAGACUUUCCUCAACAUGAAAAUUAAACAGUUUGAAAAAAAAUUCUUGGCGCAUUUAUUUAGUCGUUGGGAUGCGGAUAAACAAGUGUUACGUAUCCGAGACAACUAUGAACUGAAGAUAGAUGAUGAGAUGGUUGGUUGGAUCACCGGACUUCCUUACGGUGAAUUAACUUAUGACAUUCCAGAGCUGGAUUGCAAUGACUCGAAGUUCAAAGCGUUAAAGAAAAAAUACAAAAAUUCAGGAGGUAUUAGCUACGAUCUGGUGUACAUCAAGUGCUUGGAUGAAGAUGAGGAAAACGAUGACUUUUUGAACCACUUUGUUCUUUAUGUUGUUGCAACCGUUUUUAUGCAUUACAACUAACAACAACAUUAGCCCAGAUCACUGUUGGUUGUUAAAAAAGCAAGUUUAUUAAUGGAGCGAAAAAUUAUAACUAGUCCAAAUACGUACUUGACUGGGUGGUCAAGUAUGGAGGAGGUGAUCCUGACAAAGGAUUUAAGGGAUCUCCAAUUGUGCUUAUGAUCGCAUACUUGGACCGUUUGAACAUAAAUGGGAAGGGGCUGAUGUGGGAUAAGAAUAAGCCAAGGAUUGGUGCAUGGCAACAAAAUUGUAUUGACAAAGCAAUUGCGGCUGAUAAGAGACCGGAUGGAACCUUCGGUGCAACUGUGGUUUUCCAUGGUGUUCUUUAUGGAGAUAACUAUCCAAUUGGACGGUCAUACAAAAUACCAAAUUGGCUAAGAACCCCAAGUUCAGGUUCCAAAGCGAGUGGUAGUGAUUCGGAUAACGAUUUGUUGAUCGAAAAUAAGGUAGAGAGAAUCAGAAAAAUUCAAGCGAAGAAGAGGGAGGACAAAGCAGUCAUGAGGAGAGGGAGAUCCAAGGCUGAUGGUUCUCGUGGGAGUGAUGAGGACUCGGACUCCCUAGAUCGUAAGAAAGUAAAGACAGCGAAGACCGGGGCUGGUUCAAAGUGCCCUGAAGAGACCUUUUCAAGAAAAAGAAGCUGCCGCACAAGAGAUACUCUAGAAAUGAUGUCAUAGGGUAAUUAUAAUAUUGAAACAAGAGAUACUCUAGAAAUGAUGUCAUAGAGUAAUUAUAAUAUUGAAACUGAUAAGUGAUGCACGGGGCACCAAGAGGGGGGCGAGUACCAACCCUAAGACUCCUGUUAGGACAAGUCAUAGGGUUCCAAAAGCGACAACUGCUACAAGAAGAAGCCUCCGCAAUAUAACUCCUGCAAAUCGCAUUCCUAAGGCUCCUGCAUAUACCAUUCCUAGUGCCCCUGCAGAGACAAACCCUUCAAGAAGAAGCUCCCUCAAUAAGGGUCCACCUUUGAUCAACGUUGAAGAUAAACAAGAUGUCGAUAGUGGAAUUGGUUUGUGGUCUACAGGGUCUUAAAAAAUCGAAGGAUGGGCUGGAUGACAAGCGUCAUGCGGAGACUAGUUCAAGAAAAAAGAGGCUCUCGGAAAGCUACGUCAAAUGACAAUACUAAGGAUGAAGAGACUGAUGUGGGUUCUAGAGCGAGAGGGGCGAAGAAGACCAAGCACGGAACUGAUGAUCAAUCACCAAAUGUACAUAAUGAUGAUGAAGACGUGAUUAAUAAGGAAAGUGAUGAAGAAACGCUUUUACCACCCAUCAUUCCUCCCAAGAACAGAAAAAUUGUUGAAGAAAUAGUGGAUGAGAAAUCAAAAGCAGCGUUCAGAAGGUACUUUUUUUUAAGCAUCGAACACUCACUUUGACUCCUGAGAUCUUUCAUGACUCUUUCAACAACAAUGGGUUAAUUUCAAUAGAGGUCAUGGAGGCCUAUGUGAAAUUGUUCAACAACUUUACGACACAAAUCCUGAGUUAGGGCAGAGAGCUUAAAUCCUCCCACCAACCUACAUGUGUGAGCUUUUGAGAAACCAUCUAGAGAAGAAGAUAUAGAGGACAGCGUGAACAAAUGUGUUAUAGCCAUUCAAACUGAUGCUGCAGUUAUAGAACAAUUUCAGAACCAUGAAAAGAUAUUCAUGCCAGUGUUGCACAAUGGCAAAUGGACUUUGUACGUGGCACGUACUGAAGAAAAACUUGUCGUUGUCUUUGACACCAAACAUUAUUCUCAAGAGAGUUAUCAUAAGACUUUACUUCCUUCCGUGCUGAGGUAUACAGUUAAGGUUGUGUUGAUCAUUACAAAAAGUAAAUCACUUCAAAUGGAGUCAUGGAAAGUAAUGACGUUUAACAACAUACCGACGGAAAUGAAGCCUCAAGAUUCAGGGAUGCUAUGUAUUCUGUUCAUGAUGAUCAUAUUAGACGAUGUUGACAUGUGGAUGCAUUGGUACAAAGAUAAUGAAUGGAUUUACAAGCAGCAAGUGUGCUCAUUGAUCUUGACGGAUGAAGUAAACGAGCUGCAUGGAUCGAUGUGGGACUUGGUUAAUGCUGAAGAUCCUUAGUUGACUAUAUUUUAUUUCGCGAAAAAUGUAUUGUGAUAAACCAAAAUAUUCUCGCCGGAAUGAUUAGUAGUAGUACAAGUCUAGCUUUUUACCUAACUGAUCUGGUUAAGGUAGGACAUAUAUAUUACGAAUUAUGGUAUGUUGUAGGACAAGGUAUGUAUUGUGGUAUGUAUUUUAGUUCAUUAUGAACGUAUA
Molecule: RNA transcript, 3932 nt
Organism: Chenopodium quinoa (quinoa)
Lineage: Eukaryota; Viridiplantae; Streptophyta; Magnoliopsida; Caryophyllales; Amaranthaceae
Exons: 22
Source: RefSeq, a predicted model, not a curated record